RNAcentral lists this ribosomal RNA (809 nucleotides) under uncultured bacterium. Its description in RNAcentral is "bacterial SSU rRNA". It matches the Rfam family "Bacterial small subunit ribosomal RNA", at positions 8 to 796 of the family's 1533-position model. The record is from RNAcentral.
AGAGUUUGAUCAUGGCUCAGAACGAACGCUGGCGGCGUGGAUAAGACAUGCAAGUCGAACGGGAUAUUGCUUGUAGCAAUACAAGCGAUGUCUAGUGGCGUAAGGGUGCGUAACACGUGGGCAAUCUGCCGAGAAGUGGGGGGAUAGCUCGCCGAAAGGCGAAUUAAUACCGCAUGUGGUCAAGGAAGACAUCUUCCUGACACCAAAGCCGGGGCAACCUGGCGCUUCUUGAUGAGCCCGCGGCCUAUCAGCUAGUUGGUGAGGUAACGGCUCACCAAGGCUAUGACGGGUAGCUGGUCUGAGAGGACGACCAGCCACACUGGAACUGAGACACGGUCCAGACACCUACGGGUGGCAGCAGUCGAGAAUUUUUCUCAAUGGGGGCAACCCUGAAGGAGCGACGCCGCGUGGAGGAUGAAGGUCUUCGGAUUGUAAACUCCUGUCAUUAGGGAACAAGUGCCGGCACUUAACUACUGCCGGCUUGAUAGUACCUGAAGAGGAAGAGACGGCUAACUCUGUGCCAGCAGCCGCGGUAAUACAGAGGUCUCAAGCGUUGUUCGGAUUCAUUGGGCGUAAAGGGUGCGUAGGUGGCGCCGUAAGUCAGGUGUGAAAUCUCGGGGCUCAACCCCGAAACUGCACUUGAUACUGCGGUGCUCGAGUACUGGAGAGGAGAUUGGAAUUUACGGUGUAGCAGUGAAAUGCGUAGAUAUCGUAAGGAAGACCAGUGGCGAAGGCGAAUCUCUGGACAGUUACUGACACUGAGGCACGAAGGCCAGGGGAGCAAACGGGAUUAGAUACCCUAGUAGUCC